RNAcentral lists this ribosomal RNA (468 nucleotides) under uncultured bacterium. RNAcentral's name for it is "partial 16S ribosomal RNA". It matches the Rfam family "Bacterial small subunit ribosomal RNA", at positions 28 to 507 of the family's 1533-position model. The record is from RNAcentral.
GACGAACGCUGGCGGCGUGCUUAACACAUGCAAGUCGAACGGAAAGGCCCUGCUUUUGUGGGGUGCUCGAGUGGCGAACGGGUGAGUAACACGUGAGUAACCUGCCCUUGACUUUGGGAUAACUUCAGGAAACUGGGGCUAAUACCGGAUAGGAGCUCCUGCUGCAUGGUGGGUGUUGGAAAGUUUCGGCGGUUGGGGAUGGACUCGCGGCCUAUCAGCUUGUUGGUGGGGUAGUGGCUUACCAAGGCUUUGACGGGUAGCCGGCCUGAGAGGGUGACCGGCCACACUGGGACUGAGAUACGGCCCAGACUCCUACGGGAGGCAGCAGUGGGGAAUAGUGCACAAUGGGCGGAAGCCUGAUGCAGCAACGCCGCGUGCGGGAUGACGGCCUUCGGGUUGUAAACCGCUUUCGCCUGUGACGAAGCGUAAGUGACGGUAAUGGGUAAAGAAGCAACGGCUAACUACGUG